UCUAGUAGCAGUAUAUAUGGAGUUGGAACAGAGAAAGGGGAUCGUUACAUCAGGAGUCCUCUGUGUUUACUGGGUGAUCGCAAACAUUGCUUACAUCAUCCCAUUCUACCUACACUUGAUUGAAAUGAUACAUAGUCCAAUAUCACUUUCAUUAUUCCAUUCUACUUACCCUUAAUUGAAAAGGAGUAUGAAACAUUGCUGCUGGGUUUUGUGAUGUCCAACAUUUACUUCCUCAUGAGUGUGAGCCAGCUUGUGUUGAGUUGCAAAUCAGAAGAGGUACCGGUCACUACAAGAAAGGU
Long non-coding RNA from Dreissena polymorpha, 299 nucleotides. RefSeq lists it as uncharacterized. The record is from RefSeq and is a predicted model, not a curated record. The transcript has 3 exons. Lineage: Eukaryota; Metazoa; Mollusca; Bivalvia; Myida; Dreissenidae.